This 61-nucleotide transfer RNA is filed under the name Acidimicrobiaceae bacterium. RNAcentral describes it as "tRNA-Val". It matches the Rfam family "tRNA", at positions 8 to 60 of the family's 71-position model. From Rfam's summary of the family: Transfer RNA (tRNA) molecules are approximately 80 nucleotides in length. Their secondary structure includes four short double-helical elements and three loops (D, anti-codon, and T loops). Lineage: Bacteria; Bacillati; Actinomycetota; Acidimicrobiia; Acidimicrobiales; Acidimicrobiaceae. The record is from RNAcentral.
GCCGUUAGCUCAGUUGGCUAGAGCGCUGCCUUCACACGGCAGAGGUCACUGGUUCGAAUCC